AACUUUUGUAAAUUGAUAUGAGCUUAGAACCAUAGAAUGAAGACUUGCAUUGUGCUUCUGAUAAGUACUUCAUGGCUUAUUAUGACCUAAGUGUUCUAAAUUUGAUUCACAGGGAAUUGUGAGUUCUAAUUGAGUUGAAGCAAAAUCAAUUUAGAUAAAUAAAUCUUUUGUUUUGCUUAUUGUUGAAAACUUCUUUGAAGGGAAGGUUUUAUUGGAAAGUGUGACAGUCUAACAUUCCAUACUCCUCUCCUCUUAAAAAGAAAGUUUUUUACUAUGGACCUUCCAAUGCAGUAAUAGCAUGCCAAAGUAGCAUUCUAUGCUGCACGAUUUAUGAAUUAUCUGAAUGCCUUUGAUUUGGUAUAACUUAAGGAAGCUUGAUUGAUGUAUCUUUUCUUGCUCUUCAUGAGCGCUUUGUUAAGAAGCCAUGCAAUUCCUUUCUCCUAAUGGAAUUUAUUAUGGUGCUUCUAACUUGUAACAUUAAAUGGUAUCCUUUCUGAAAUGUGUUGUUUAUGGGGAAAUAUAUGGUAU
This 528-nucleotide unclassified non-coding RNA is filed under the name Hevea brasiliensis (rubber tree). The record is from RNAcentral. Lineage: Eukaryota; Viridiplantae; Streptophyta; Magnoliopsida; Malpighiales; Euphorbiaceae.